This 541-nucleotide unclassified non-coding RNA is filed under the name Hevea brasiliensis (rubber tree). The record is from RNAcentral. Lineage: Eukaryota; Viridiplantae; Streptophyta; Magnoliopsida; Malpighiales; Euphorbiaceae.
GCAUAUAAUAAAAUGCGUUUAAAAUCAAUCAUUUUCAAAAAAUAAGGUGUCUAUUAACAGGUUAUGAAAACUGAAAAAACAUGUGAAACAGCAAUGCUUGAGCAGCAAGAACUUGGCAUCUAAGCCAAAUUCAAAUCGGUAGUUGGGUAAGUUGAAGCCUCUCCAUCCAGACAGGGUAACCCCUCCUACUUAAAUUCAACACCUCUCCUCAUCAAUUCCAUUACCCAAUAUAUAAAAAAUGCCCAUGCCACACCAAACUGGCCUUUCCAUUUUGCACUUAGGCAUUCUCUCUCUCUCCCUCUCUUUUCUGGUAAUUAUUAACUAUUUUAAAAUCAAAGAUACGACUGAUAGCUUUUACAGCCUACUAACUAUAGGAUAGAAAUCAAGAAAAUGCAUAUUACUUAUCAAUUUGUGAAUCAGAGAAGAAAUUAAUCAUAAAACAUGGUGAUUCUCAUCUCAGACUACUUCCCAGAUUUGUCGGUUUCCCAUAAGCUGAUUAAUUGUCUGCCCACUCACACCAAUCCCAGGAGAAAGCUUUAAG